This 497-nucleotide ribosomal RNA is filed under the name uncultured bacterium. RNAcentral describes it as "partial 16S ribosomal RNA". It matches the Rfam family "Bacterial small subunit ribosomal RNA", at positions 28 to 507 of the family's 1533-position model. The record is from RNAcentral.
GAUGAACGCUGGCGGCGUGCCUAAUACAUGCAAGUCGAGCGAACAGACGAGGAGCUUGCUCCUCUGACGUUAGCGGCGGACGGGUGAGUAACACGUGGAUAACCUACCUAUAAGACUGGGAUAACUUCGGGAAACCGGAGCUAAUACCGGAUAAUAUAUUGAACCGCAUGGUUCAAUAGUGAAAGACGGUUUUGCUGUCACUUAUAGAUGGAUCCGCGCCGCAUUAGCUAGUUGGUAAGGUAACGGCUUACCAAGGCAACGAUGCGUAGCCGACCUGAGAGGGUGAUCGGCCACACUGGAACUGAGACACGGUCCAGACUCCUACGGGAGGCAGCAGUAGGGAAUCUUGCGCAAUGGGCGAAAGCCUGACGGAGCAACGCCGCGUGAGUGAUGAGGGUCUUCGGAUCGUAAAACUCUGUUAUUAGGGAAGAACAAAUGUGUAAGUAACUAUGCACGUCUUGACGGUACCUAAUCAGAAAGCCACGGCUAACUACGUG